CAGAUUUCUUUUUCCUCACCAUGUGGUUGAUCUUUCUUAAAGUUAGAGAUACUCACAGUGUUUUCGGAUGGCUCUCGAUUUGCUUUUGCUACUAGGUUUGAAUUUGUAUAUUCUUUCCUUUCCGAAGAGCUAGUAGUGGUUUCUUGAUUAAUCUCAGUGUAGCCAUCAUUGAAAUCGGAUGAGCAUGUAGUUUCUGAUUCAGAAUCCUCUAAUGAGUGCUCGAUCUCUUCUUCCGAUUCAAUCAUUUUAGAUGACCUGUCUAAACACUCAGUAAAAACAUUAGCGCUUUCAUCCAUGGUUGGACUUUCCGUUAAGUCGCCAGGAUGAGUAUAUGAAGAUAGUUUGCU
RNAcentral lists this long non-coding RNA (347 nucleotides) under Lupinus mutabilis. RNAcentral's name for it is "partial ncRNA". The record is from RNAcentral. Lineage: Eukaryota; Viridiplantae; Streptophyta; Magnoliopsida; Fabales; Fabaceae.